RNAcentral lists this ribosomal RNA (466 nucleotides) under uncultured bacterium. Its description in RNAcentral is "partial 16S ribosomal RNA". It matches the Rfam family "Bacterial small subunit ribosomal RNA", at positions 28 to 507 of the family's 1533-position model. The record is from RNAcentral.
GAUGAACGCUGGCGGCGUGCUUAACACAUGCAAGUCGAACGGAAAGGCCCAAGCUUGCUUGGGUACUCGAGUGGCGAACGGGUGAGUAACACGUGGGUGAUCUGCCCUGCACAUCGGGAUAAGCCUGGGAAAAUGGGUCUAAUACCGGAUAGGACCACAUUUUGGAUGGUGUGGUGGAAAGUUUUUCGGUGUGGGAUGGGCUCGCGGCCUAUCAGCUUGUUGGGGGUGGAAUGGCCUACCAAGGCGUCGACGGGUAGCCGGCCCGGGAGGGUGUACGGGCACAUUGGGACUGGGAUACGGACCAGACUCCUACGGGAGGCAGCAGUAGGGAAGAUGGCACAAUGGGCGUGAGCCUGAUGCUGCGACGCCGCGUGGGGGAGGACGGCCAACGGGUUGUAAACGCCUUUCGCUAGGGACGAAGCGUUAUGUGACGGUACCUGGAGAAGAAGCACCGGCUAACUACGUG